CUCGGGAGGAGGGAGGUGGUGCCACGAUGAGCACAUCAAGUGUUUUCUCUAAGUUACUCUUCUUCAAGCAAGGCUGAAAAAUGAACUCUAGAUACAAAGAUGCCAUGGGAAGCUCUUAAUCUUACGAAAAAGAGCCUGAGGACAUUCUGAUGCUUCUGCAUGAAGAGAGAAAGCAGUCCACAGUGCCAAGAUAAAGCUGAGGUGUGACACCAAAGGGUCUCUGGACUGGCAGUGCCCGACCCACCGGGAGCCCCUGCAGCCAAGCUUCCACCUCCUCA
RNAcentral lists this long non-coding RNA (278 nucleotides) under Manacus vitellinus (golden-collared manakin). RNAcentral's name for it is "lncRNA (ENSMVIG00005008797.1)". The record is from RNAcentral. Lineage: Eukaryota; Metazoa; Chordata; Aves; Passeriformes; Pipridae.